CCUACGGGGGGCAGCAGUGAGGAAUAUUGGUCAAUGGCCGAGAGGCUGAACCAGCCAAGUCGCGUGAGGGAAGACGGCCCUACGGGUUGUAAACCUCUUUUGUCGGGGAGCAAAGCGAGUCACGUGUGACUCAUUGAGUGUACCCGAAGAAAAAGCAUCGGCAAACUCCGCGCCAGCAGCCGCGGUAAUAUGGGGGAUACGAGCGUUGUCCGGAUUUAUUGGGUUUAAGGGGUGCGCAGGCGGAGGUGCAAGUCAGCGGUCAAGUUGCGGGGCUCAACCCCGUAGUGCCGUGGAAACUGAAUCCCUUGAGUGCACGAGAAGUAUGCGGAAUGCGUGGUGUAGCGGUGAAAUGCAUAGAUAUCACGCAGAACUCCGAUUGCGAAGGCAGCAUACCGGCGCGCAACUGACGCUCAUGCACGAAAGCGUGGGUAUCGAACAGGAUUAGAUACCCUAGUAGUC
Molecule: ribosomal RNA, 459 nt
Filed under: uncultured bacterium
Lineage: Bacteria
Description: partial 16S ribosomal RNA
Rfam family: Bacterial small subunit ribosomal RNA
Source: RNAcentral